This 253-nucleotide ribosomal RNA is filed under the name uncultured bacterium. Its description in RNAcentral is "partial 16S ribosomal RNA". It matches the Rfam family "Bacterial small subunit ribosomal RNA", at positions 524 to 776 of the family's 1533-position model. The record is from RNAcentral.
GACGAACCGAGCGAACGUUAUUCGGAAUCACUGGGCUUAAAGGGCGCGUAGGCGGGCGGCCAAGUCGAGGGUGAAAGCCCCCAGCUCAACUGGGGAAGUGCCUCCGAUACUGGCCAUCUCGAGGGAGGUAGGGGCGUGCGGAACUUCCGGUGGAGCGGUGAAAUGCGUAGAUAUCGGAAGGAACACCGGUGGCGAAAGCGGCGCGCUGGACCUCUUCUGACGCUGAGGCGCGAAAGCCAGGGGAGCAAACGGG